RNAcentral lists this ribosomal RNA (1437 nucleotides) under uncultured organism. RNAcentral describes it as "partial small subunit ribosomal RNA". It matches the Rfam family "Bacterial small subunit ribosomal RNA". The record is from RNAcentral.
GCGUGCUUAACACAUGCAAGUCGAACGGAAAGGCCCUGCUUUUGUGGGGUGCUCGAGUGGCGAACGGGUGAGUAACACGUGAGUAACCUGCCCUUGACUUUGGGAUAACUUCAGGAAACUGGGGCUAAUACCGGAUAGGAGCUCCUGCUGCAUGGUGGGGGUUGGAAAGUUUCGGCGGUUGGGGAUGGACUCGCGGCUUAUCAGCUUGUUGGUGGGGUAGUGGCUUACCAAGGCUUUGACGGGUAGCCGGCCUGAGAGGGUGACCGGCCACAUUGGGACUGAGAUACGGCCCAGACUCCUACGGGAGGCAGCAGUGGGGAAUAUUGCACAAUGGGCGGAAGCCUGAUGCAGCAACGCCGCGUGCGGGAUGACGGCCUUCGGGUUGUAAACCGCUUUCGCCUGUGACGAAGCGUGAGUGACGGUAAUGGGUAAAGAAGCACCGGCUAACUACGUGCCAGCAGCCGCGGUGAUACGUAGGGUGCGAGCGUUGUCCGGAUUUAUUGGGCGUAAAGGGCUCGUAGGUGGUUGAUCGCGUCGGAAGUGUAAUCUUGGGGCUUAACCCUGAGCGUGCUUUCGAUACGGGUUGACUUGAGGAAGGUAGGGGAGAAUGGAAUUCCUGGUGGAGCGGUGGAAUGCGCAGAUAUCAGGAGGAACACCAGUGGCGAAGGCGGUUCUCUGGGCCUUUCCUGACGCUGAGGAGCGAAAGCGUGGGGAGCGAACAGGCUUAGAUACCCUGGUAGUCCACGCUGUAAACGGUGGGUACUAGGUGUGGGGUCCAUUCCACGGGUUCCGUGCCGUAGCUAACGCUUUAAGUACCCCGCCUGGGGAGUACGGCCGCAAGGCUAAAACUCAAAGGAAUUGACGGGGCCCCGCACAAGCGGCGGAGCAUGCGGAUUAAUUCGAUGCAACGCGUAGAACCUUACCUGGGUUUGACAUGGAUCGGGAGUGCUCAGAGAUGGGUGUGCCUCUUUUGGGGUCGGUUCACAGGUGGUGCAUGGCUGUCGUCAGCUCGUGUCGUGAGAUGUUGGGUUAAGUCCCGCAACGAGCGCAACCCUUGUUCACUGUUGCCAGCACGUUAUGGUGGGGACUCAGUGGAGACCGCCGGGGUCAACUCGGAGGAAGGUGGGGAUGACGUCAAGUCAUCAUGCCCCUUAUGUCCAGGGCUUCACGCAUGCUACAAUGGCUGGUACAGAGAGUGGCGAGCCUGUGAGGGUGAGCGAAUCUCGGAAAGCCGGUCUCAGUUCGGAUUGGGGUCUGCAACUCGACCUCAUGAAGUCGGAGUCGCUAGUAAUCGCAGAUCAGCAACGCUGCGGUGAAUACGUUCCCGGGGCUUGUACACACCGCCCGUCAAGUCAUGAAAGUUGGUAACACCCGAAGCCGGUGGCCUAACCGUUGUGGGGGAGCCGUCGAAGGUGGGACUGGUGAUUAGGACUAAGA